RNAcentral lists this ribosomal RNA (301 nucleotides) under uncultured bacterium. Its description in RNAcentral is "partial 16S ribosomal RNA". It matches the Rfam family "Bacterial small subunit ribosomal RNA", at positions 509 to 807 of the family's 1533-position model. The record is from RNAcentral.
CAGUAGCCACGGGAAUACGGAGGGAGCUAGCGUUGUUCGGAAUUACUGGGCGUAAAGCGCGCGUAGGCGGUUACUCAAGUCAGAGGUGAAAGCCCGGGGCUCAACCCCGGAACUGCCUUUGAAACUAGGUGACUAGAAUCUUGGAGAGGUCAGCGGAAUUCCGAGUGUAGAGGUGAAAUUCGUAGAUAUUCGGAAGAACACCAGUGGCGAAGGCGACUGACUGGACAAGUAUUGACGCUGAGGUGCGAAAGCGUGGGGAGCAAACAGGAUUAGAUACCCGGGUAGUCCCUGUCUCUUAUAC